CCAUACUCUUUCUUUCUUUCUCCCUGACUCCAUCUCUUCCCCUCUUAACCUCGUCACAACCACCUUCACCCUGCCCACCACCACUCACCAUCACCGAAGGCACCACAACCCCAUCGCGAGCCACCCCUCCUCUUGUUGCCUCUCUGUUUCGACAAAACCCGAAGCUCUCUUCGCCACUGCCGAAGCUUCUAUCCAUUUCCAAUAAGCUCUUGGCCAAAUGGCCGAGCUCCUUUUUCCGUCUUGGAGUUCUCUCUCUCAAUCUCGAGUUCUUUCUCUAUCUCUAUCUCUAGCUAAGGAGGCCAAGGAGAGUCGAUCUCAUCGCCGGCGACAUUCCAGAGUGUUUCUGCAUUUUCUGGUGACCUCCACCAUUUUCUCCGGCCACGGAUUGGCCAAAAAUUCUUCGAGUCCAUCCCAAACUCUCUCUCUUUGUUCCUCUCUUGUCCUUUGAUUUGGCUUUCUUAAUCAUUUUUUGCACAAGCAUGUCCUUAUCUGAAGAGUCGGGCAAACAAAGAGCAGAAAAGGCUCUAAGCACAGUAGAGAGUACAGGAGCAGGCAGAUAAAGGAUCUCAAGGAUCACCUUCCUCUUUCAGACCCAGGCAGAGAACGCGCACUUUAGCUUCCACUUCCACUACUCAGUCGGAUCCAUCUCUUCUUCCCCAUCCAUCUCAACAGCCAGGUUCGUCAUCUAUUCCUUCUUCAGAGCCAAUGCCCCAAGCUGACACUCGUUCCUAGCAUGCCAGUUCAGAUUCCAGCUAUAGAGCUGAGCUGACUCAACUGCAGUCAGAUUUUACUUCUUUCAGAGUUGACAUGACGAGACAAUCUGAUGACUUAGCGAGGCAAUUGACAACCUAGCGAGAGCUGUAGCAGACACGAGGAAAGACAACACAGAUUUUUGGACAAACGUUCAGCAUAUUACUCGAUAUAGCCAGGAGAUGUCAGAGAUUAUCCAGAUCAUUACAGAUAUGCUUAGGCCAGAUGUUGUCCCGUGAUUCCACCAUUCUCUCUCUAUUACUCAUCAUUACAUUACCUGAUCCUGACAUUGCUUUGAUAUUCUGAUACAUUGAUUAUCUUUGGGGAUAUUUUUACCGUUUUGAUAUCUUUACAUUGGUUUUGGAUAUUACUUUUGGGUAUUCAAGAUUUUAUUGCUAUAUGCCAUGGAUUUAAGCCCAUUCAUUCCAAAUUCUUCAUUUUAUCUCUCAUUUCUAUCAUUGAUGCAUAUGCUUUGAAAGUUGCUAGUGUGACCAUUUUCAGACAGGUUUUUGGAAUCUAAGUUUGGGGGUGUGCGUCUUCUAAUGCCAAGCUUCCAUUGCCGGGUUCUAUAUGCUACGACCAUUUGGUAUACUCUUUCCACUAUCUAUGGAUAUCUUUAUACAUUGAGAAUAAUGCACAGAUUAAGUUUGGGGGAGUGUAAGCAUAUUUUGGCAUAUCACACUUAUUUUCUAUGCAUGUGAUAUGAUUUGAGAGCUUAGCAAUGAUUUUGAUCUUUUGAGGACUAUGGUACUUAGAAUUUAAAAAUUGCUUGACUUGUGAGUUCAAUACUCCUUAAAUGCCUUUUGGAAGUCAUUUUUUAGCACAAAUUUUCAAAAGAUUGACAUUUUGUUUGCUUUUGUGGUCCACAUAUCAUGUUUGUGAGAUUGCUUUGAGAUUCACUCUAGAGUUCUACACUUGCACAUGUGUACACUAGUAUUCAUUUAUGGGGUACAUACUUAGUUGAUCAUUGAUUUGGUUAUAUUCCAAUUGAGCUAGUAUUGUUUUGAAAGCUUCCAUUCUUGACAAGAUGAUCUUGCAUGCUAAAUAACAAACCUUUAUCCGAGUAACUGGGAUUCGUGCCUCAUUAAGCAUCGAACUCUCGCAUGAAAGAUGGAAGGCCUACACAAUAGUUCUAAAAAAAAAAAAAAAAAAAGGUUUGCAAAAGCAAAUAAAGUGAGCAUUUCUCACCAAAGUGGGGAGUGGAAAAUGAUUAGAUGAGAGUUGUUUCGAUUUGUAGCCUAGUUGAUUUGAGCUUGUAAGUCCUUAGGGGUGUCUUUCCACCUAAUACCCUAAAGCAAUCCAGUUUGGGAGUCAUUGACCUAACGUUCGCUACAUGAAUCUUCUAGAAAGCUUAAGAGAUCACUACAUUGCACCAUACUCUUGUCUUCUGAUCCUAUUAAAAAAAAAGAGUGAAAAAAAAAAGAAAAACAAAGAGAGCAUGUAGGAAAUAAAUUGAAUAAAAAGGUUUAUUCUUUGUCUUGAUGAUCGGUACUAGAUUUGUGUACUAGCUUGAGACCAGUUGUGCCUAUUUCAUUGAUUUGCUAAGAUAAGAACAUAUUUGAUGCCGGUUCACUCAAAAAGAAUGCUAGAGUUGUUUUGAUUUGCAUGACCAUCUUACUUGACGUGUGGAGGACCAUACUUGCUUGCUUGUUGUUAAAAUUUUGGAAGAUUGCUUAGAGGUGAUUGAAAAAUUGCAUACUUAAGGUAGUUUUCUUUCAAUGCUUGUCUGGAUCAUUGGUGCCUCUUUAGUGAGAAAGAGCUUUAUGUUUGUGGGUAUCAUUUCUGGAAACCUUCACGAGACUUCGCUGGUCUAUUAGGGGUAACCUAGGGGUUCAAAAGGCUUAUUGCGUAUGCUAAAUGCAAUCGUGUUCCCUACGAAAAUAGUGCUAUCUUUUUAUUUCUUUCUAGUUCAUAGUUGUGUAGUUAUCUAUUUCUUUCUUUGCUUUGUAGUUCAUUGCUUGAGACUAGCAAUAUCUAAGUUUGGGGGUGUGAUAAGUGCUCAAAUAUUGUAUAUAUUAGCACCUAAGUUAGGGUAUUUUAGUCCAUUCAUCUACUUUACCUUCUCAUUUUAGUUAUAAUCCUUGUUUUUGUCUAUUUCAGGUCAAUAAGGUUUAAAUAGGCUAAAAAGAGCCUAUUAUCUCCUUUUUGGAGUUAAGAAGAAAAUCCAGAAUAAGUUAGAAAAAGUCCACUGGAGUACUUUCAAUCGAUCGAAGACUCAACCAUGAUCGAUCGAAAGUUCUCAAUCCAUCGAAGUGCCAUGUCAGCGGUAGCUCAGCAAAGGAUAAAGCCAAAUGAAGAUAUUUUCUUGCCACGUCAUCUUCGAUUGAUCAAAUUUAUCUUUGAUCCAUCGAAGUAUCCUUCGAUCGAUCAAGCCCCUGCUGGCAGUGAGCUGUUUAAUUCCCAAGCGUGCUCGAACUCCACCAAACUUUUGGCUGCGGGAUUAAACCAAUGAAAUGCCUAUUUUCUGACUUGUUGCCUACUUAAAGAGGCUUGUAUUUGAAUGAAAUUGGACCAUUUUUUGUAAGGUUCCCAACUUUUAGCGAAAUUUUUUCAUAGUUUAGACAUAAUUUUCUCUCUCUAGAUUAGGGUUUUUGGAGCAAAAGAAAAGGCAAGAAAGGGGAAGAAGAUGAACUCAACCAUGGAGAUAGCCCUUAAGGGUAAGAUAACAACAACCAUAAGUGGCUAGAUCACCCUCUUAAGGUUAGAGAUAGCCCUAGGCUUGCUUUCUAAAAUCUAGUUUUUUGUUAUUUUUAGGGGAUUCUUGUUGUAAAUGAUGUUUUGACCUAUGAUUAUAUAUAGAUUUUGAGUUUCUACA
This is a long non-coding RNA of Cornus florida, 3565 nucleotides long. RefSeq lists it as uncharacterized. The transcript is spliced from 2 exons. The record is from RefSeq and is a predicted model, not a curated record. Lineage: Eukaryota; Viridiplantae; Streptophyta; Magnoliopsida; Cornales; Cornaceae.